Molecule: ribosomal RNA, 253 nt
Filed under: uncultured bacterium
Lineage: Bacteria
Description: partial 16S ribosomal RNA
Rfam family: Bacterial small subunit ribosomal RNA
Source: RNAcentral
UACGUAGGGAGCAAGCGUUGUCCGGAAUCAUUGGGCGUAAAGCGCGCGUAGGCGGCCCCGUAAGUCCGCUGUGAAAGUCAAAGGCUCAACCUUUGAAAGCCGGUGGAUACUGUGGGGCUAGAGUCCGGAAGAGGCGAGUGGAAUUCCUGGUGUAGCGGUGGAAUGCGCAGAUAUCAGGAGGAACACCGAUGGCGAAGGCAGGUCACUGGGCCGCAACUGACGCUGAGGAGCGAAAGCAUGGGGAGCGAACAGG